CUCUGUAGUGUUAGCAGCUCAUGACUCAACUUCAAACAAAAUUGAAACCCUAAUCCUCUUCACUGUUACGGAACCGCUCCCCCCAUCGCGACACCAAAUCGAUCAAAGGGAAACCAUUUUUUACUCUCCAAUUCAAGAGAUUCCUUUUCAGUCGGGAAGGAGAUAGUGACAUCGAAGGUGGCGGUGGUGGUGGAGCUGACGCCUUUCAUUCUCCGAUUGGCUGUAAGUAUCGUUCCGUGUUGGCUAACGAUCGUGCUCUACUUGAGAUGUCUUCCAUAGAUCCACUAUCUUCUUCUUCCUCAACAUUUCACAACCUUAAUUUCACAACCUUAAUUUCACCAUGCAAUUUCAAUCUUAUGAUAUGGUCUUCCGUCGGAUUCCGAUUCCGUUUUCGUUUAGGUUCUGCUUUGGAUCCCUAUUCAGGAGCUUCGGAAGCAGGUUUUCUUUUAUCACGGUAUGUUCAAAAUUUGCAGAGUAAAUUGUUGGUUGAAGAUUGACACAAAACUCAGUCUCAAAUGUUGCUUAUGGAACUUGUUGAGUCAGCUCUGUGCUGUGUUGCAAUUGUAUUGGAUCAACUAUUCGUUCCUGUUUGGUAUCAGACAUGGAACUGAGUUGGAUCAUAGAGAAGUAUUCCUUCUCACAACUGGCCAUGCAGUGAUUGCAGUUCUAGGUUUCUUGGUAAAUUGCAGCUUGAGUUUUCUUUUUGUAAGUUCAAUCUUUUUGGAAUAUUUGGGGUGUUAGUAAUGGAACUGAUUCAAUACUGUGUAAGUUCAAUCUUUUUGUAAAAAAACAUUUGAGGUGUUAGUAAUGGAACUGAUUCAAUAAGUACACUUGGCUUUCUUACCUUCAAAUUUUCUCUAGGUUGAUGUGAAUGGUGGAACAAACAUGACCGGCGAAUUGCUACUCUUGAGUUUGACUUUGACAGGAAGUCAAUGGGUGUUAUUGUUGACACUGGUGUGGGGAAAAACUUGAUGUUGGUUAAGAUUUGCAGAAGCAACUAUGUAUAUGGCAUCAAAGCUGAAUUUAGAUGGAAUAUCAACAUGAAUCUCAACCACGUGUUUUCUUUUGAGCAACUCACCACAUGAACUCUUUAUCUCUCCACUGGGAAUUUGCAAAAAGAUUUGCUGGCCAAUCCAAGCGCUCAUUCUUUUGAUGAGCUAGCUUUGCUGUUGCAUCAAGAAUUGAAUAGUUCACCUCGUGUACCCCGUGCACGCCAGCUUGCCACAGCUAACUUCUACUAGUGCUACAAACAUGCUAAUGAAGCGAGCAUCGGUUGGAGGAAAGGAUAACUAUUUGGCUUAAUCAAUGAUAUAAUGAGCAAGGGCAGGCACAUAACAGAGAGCGAUAGAACCGGAGAACUUUGUAGCAGAUUUUAUAGUAACUUGUUCUAUAAAUUUGUAUUAUAAUUCAAAAUAUUUUAAAUUAUAAUUUUAUUUUUAUAUUAUGGUUACAUAGUCACAUUAUAAAAAUAUUUUAGAUUUUUAUAAUGUUUCAAAAGUUAAUAAAUUUUUUUUA
This is a long non-coding RNA of Vicia villosa (hairy vetch), 1515 nucleotides long. RefSeq lists it as uncharacterized. The transcript has 6 exons. NCBI's taxonomy places the organism in Eukaryota, Viridiplantae, Streptophyta, Magnoliopsida, Fabales, Fabaceae. The record is from RefSeq and is a predicted model, not a curated record.